CAUAGGGAAAGAAAUCUCAGACUCAGUCGGUAACUUAAAGUUGGAGAGCUCGCUUACCUGCUGGGUUCUGCUUGCUAAUCUACUGUGCUCAUAAAUAAUAUCCUGCAAUCGUGGACACGUUAACCGCCACGAAGGAGUUGCAUACCUUUGACUUUUAUCAGGCAGGCUUGAUUGAAAUUCGAAAAUUCAGUUGGUGGCUGUGGCGGUGAUCAGUUCUUCCCAUCGUUCUCUCGUCCCGCGUGACAUCAUUUUUUAGGUACAAAACAAAACACCCCCUGAAGGCCGGAAGUCAACCAGAGAGCAUCGUGCUUUUCUCUCUUUUUUCACGGUGAUCAGCAUAGCUGAUUUAUCCACUCUCAGCAACCUACAGAAUGUGGAGUCCAACACAUGUCCAAGUUACAGUUUGCAGAGUGAAAGGACUGUUGACCAAAGGGAAAAAUGGUACAAAUGAUGCCUUUGUUACAAUUUCUCUUGGAAAAGAGAAAUUUCAGACAUCGGUUAAACAAAAAGCCUUAUCUGAGUUAGAAUGGCAGGAAGAGUGUGAACUGGCCAUUCCUACUCAAGGGAAUACGGCAGAAAUCGUACUCACUGCAUUACAUCAAAAUUUCAUUGGAGUCGACGAGUUUUUGGGCAUGGUAUCACUGCCUCUUUCCAACUUUGAUGUCUAUGAAAGGCCAAGAACAAAGUGGUAUCCAUUAAAAAGUAAGCCGGGCCAAGAGGGGAAAAAUAAAAACCGUGGUGAAAUCGAGGUUCGUGUGGCGUUUACAGUCAAGUCGGGAUCAUUGUUGGAUCUCUCUAAAAAGGAGAAACAUAAAGGAUCAUUUGGCCACCUGUCCCAAGCUGCACAUAAUAUUGGGGGAAGUCUUAUGAGCCUGGGUAAAGAGAAAAAAGGAGGUAUCAAGAAACUAGCUUCGUCCGUCGGAAGCAAAUUGAGAUUGCCAAAAAGUGGAAGGGACGAAAAGGGUGGAGAUGGCCGUCUUUCCCGCCACAGUUCCGGUAGAUAUAGUGGCAAAUAUUCCGGUGGAGAGCCAGACCCUGGUGUUAUAUCUGAAGAUGAUGAUGAAUUCAGAUUUGAUGAGUUAUCACACAAAAGCUCUGGAAGUUCAUUGAACCUGGCCGGUGGCAGUAGUAGCUUAGCUAGUGGGCAAGGAUCGCUAGAAAACCUUGGGGGCGGCGAGUUGCUCCGGCACAAUUCAAUGAAACGUUCCGGCUCGUCAGCUACUUUGCCAAACCGAGCCAUUCAACCCUCGACUUCAAUUUCCAGUUUGGCCGUCUCCGUGACCAGCGGUGCGAGUAAGUCGCCCACCCAACAACAAAGUGAUUGGAACCAGAAAUUUUUCGGAAGCAAGCAGAACAAAGUGUCGGAAGACCCCGUCGUCAAGGAGGAGAAGGCAGGUGCUGCAAUGACAACUGCUGCUAUGGCAACGGCUGCUGCAGCUGUUUUGCAUGCCUCCUCACCGCCGUCAUUAGUGGCCGACGGAGUGCCUUCUAUCAUCAUCCAGGAUUCCUUUGUCGUCGAACAGCCGUCGCUCUCACCGUCCGCCUCGCCUCCGUCCAGCAAACUGAACAGCGGUAACGUUCCUGUUCCCAAAACUCGAAACGCCAAGAAUCAAGAAGUACCGGUGGAAGUGGACCUACCGACGGUCAUCCCCCAGGCUCGCCAACGCAAGGAUUUAGCGACCGUAGAUGAAAUUCCAACCAUGGAGGUCAAUUCCCAACCAGCAGGUGAGGAAGCCAAUGCCGAGUUUGACACUGGCCAAUCACUGUCGGCUCGACCCCGCAUGUCAGCAUCACCACCCCAUCCUUCUUCUUUCCCUGUCGGUGUUGUCAUGAAUGAUGAACAUGUUGCUCGACCACCGCCUGUUCCCAAACCCAGAAGAAGUCCACUCCCACCUACUACUUCGCUUGAGAUGUUGAAUGAACCUUCGCUUCCGUCCUCGGAUGAAUUUCCAAUAAUCCAGCAACAGCCAGUCGUUCAGCCCAGAAAUGUGAUUGACGUGAAGUAUUCUCCGAGUCAGAUUUCGCCCAUUCAACUGAAUCCUUUCGAUUCCGAGUCCGAUGAUGGACAGUAUUCGGAUUCAGACGUUUAUGAUCAGCGUUUUGAAGAUGAUGAUCGCGGUAACAUAUUGGACUUGACUUACAAUCCUGCCCAGCCGUCGAACGUGAUUGUUUUGGACAAUGUUGAAGAAUCGGAUGAAAUGAUGCUGAACGAAGACAGUGUUUGUGAGUUAUUGGAGAAAGUUAUCCAAGAGCACGAUCACCAAUCGGCCGGUCUGCCUGCGGAGGCUCCUCCUCCGAAACCAGUCAGGGCCUCCAAUGCAGUUGAACUCUACAAUGAUGAGACGAGCGAGGAAGAAGAUGAAAUACAAGAAGAGGCUCUUCCUCCGAAUUCAGUCAGGGCCUCUAACGCAGUUGAACUCUACAAUGAUGAAACGAGUGAGGAAGAAGAUCAAAUCCAAGAAGAAUCGAUCGAGGGUGAACCGACUGUCGACUUUUUCAACGAUCAAACCGUCCAGAUCAGUCCAGUUGAGAAAGUUGAAGAAGAAAUGGUGAGAGUUGCGCCGCAUCAGACGUCAGGCCGCGUUGAAGAUACGCCCAUCAAUUCUUCGCCUAAAGAAAUUCGACGCGAUCGUCUUUUUAGUUUGUUCUCUACACCCACUAGCGAAACGGACACUGAACCGAAAUCAGCUGGAGUAGUUGACUUAGAUUGGCUCGACGAUAGUAAGGAAGAUAUCAGUCAGGGAUUCGGGGGCUCCGAACAUUUGUCGGAUGGAAUGACGGCUGCCUCUAAUUCGGACCAUGCCAAGACUAUGGACAGCGCCGUCUAUGUGACCGGAGAAGACAAUCAAGCGCCUGAAGUCAGCCCUUCCAAUUCCAGCACUUUUACUAAUUUUACCGAAGCUUUAAAUCGUCCCUUGUCUGCACUUUUAUUGGCGCACGAGGCGGUCUUUACCCCACCACCCGCCACUUCGCCACUCCUUAAACCUGCCGCAGUUCAGACGCCACUUUCCGUCCAAUCUACAGCGUCCAAUCGCGCCGAAUUAUCUUGGGAUAAUUACGACAUGGCGAUGCUAAAUCAAACUCCUGAUGCUGGGACUGGCGGGGCUGGCGGACGACGAUCCAUCGUUCCAUUCGAGCCUGUCGACGAAGAGGCUAAAGCGCGACGUAAACGGAUUUCGUUGGCUCCUUGUCUGAAAACGAUGGCAUUGGAAUCGCCUUCCUGCGACCAGUCGGCUGGCUCGCCCAUCACAGAAGACGACGAGGACGAUGAUGGUGCAGGAGAACAGGCGGUUUCCGCGAAUUCCAACGAGUCGCACCGCAUGAAAAUGGCAGCUUCGUUUCACCAGCGGGUCGUGGUCGGCGAGGAUAAGCCUGCCAACAACAACACACCCCGCGAUCAUCACCGUACACCGCGUGACUCGUCUACAUCCGAGGAUCGAUUGCGGGUUUACCAGGAAAAAUCCCGAGAGGGUUUGAUUGGUUUGCUGGAAGAUCGUGAUAAUGAAAUUUCGGAUCUAAAAGACUAUAUAGACAGUCUGUUAUUGAAAGUGAUCGACACGUGCCCCACUGUUCUCCAGACGCCCGUCAAAGCCAAAACUUCUCGGAAAUAAUUUAUUUCCCCCGUCCAUUUAGAGAAAAUCACGCAAUCACAUGAGGAAUUGAUGGAUCAUCGCUACAUUACAAAAACGCCAUUUCUCAACUUAAAAAUAGUGCGAUGAUGCUGCUUCUUGUUUGUCGAUUGGAAAAAAAAAAACAAGAACACAUUCCGACGGCGUGCCUUAUGUAACAGAAUGCUUGUUGCCGCCAUUUAUUUUCAAAGUUUCUCGCUUCAUAUACUGUGUUUCGAAUCAUAAUUUUAUCGUAAUGUUCUGUUUCUUUCCAGAUUGCCCUAUUAAUUAAUGAAUAAUACAAACAUACUGUUUUAAAGCCA
This 3931-nucleotide unclassified non-coding RNA is filed under the name Daphnia pulex (common water flea). RNAcentral's name for it is "uncharacterized LOC124190200, transcript variant X1". Lineage: Eukaryota; Metazoa; Arthropoda; Branchiopoda; Diplostraca; Daphniidae. The record is from RNAcentral.